AUUGAACGCUGGCGGCAUGCCUAACACAUGCAAGUCGAGCGGAAGAAGGCUGCUUUCUCCUGGUUCUAGCGGCGGACGGGUGAGUAAUGCCUAUGAAUCUCCUUGGUAUUGGUUGAUAACGUCUUGAGACGGGCGCUAAUACUGCAUACGUCCUGAGGGUGAAAGUGGGUGAUGGUCGGACAUCAUGCUCUGUUAUGAGCUUAGUUGGGAUUAGCUAGUUGGUGGGGUAAAGGCCUACCAAGGCGACGAUCCGUAACUGGUCUGAGAGGAUGAUCAGUCACACUGGAACUGAGACACGGUCCAGACUCCUACGGGAGGCAGCAGUGGGGAAUAUUGGACAAAGGGCGAAAGCCUGAUCCAGCCAUGCCGCGUGUGUGAAGAAGGUCUUCGGAUUGUAAAGCACUUUAAGUUGGGAGGAAGGGCAGUAAGUUAAUACCUUGCUGUUUUGACGUUACCAACAGAAUAAGCACCGGCUAACUUCGUG
This 484-nucleotide ribosomal RNA is filed under the name uncultured bacterium. Its description in RNAcentral is "partial 16S ribosomal RNA". It matches the Rfam family "Bacterial small subunit ribosomal RNA", at positions 30 to 507 of the family's 1533-position model. The record is from RNAcentral.